AAGAAUUUAAUGCCCAUGGCAUGUCCUCAGUAUAAGCUACUUAUACGGUGAAACUGCGAACGGCUCAUUAUAUCAGUUAUAGUUUCUUUGAUAGUGUUUUUUCUACACGGAUACUCGUGGCAAAUCUAGAAACAAUACAUGCUUCCAAGCCUGACUUUUCGGAGAAGGGCUGCAUUUAUUAGACUUAAACCAAUAUCUUUUCGGAGAUUGUUUUGGUGAUUCAUAAUAACUAAGCGAAUCGCACUUUUAGGCGAUGAAUCAUUCAAGUUUCUGCCCCAUCAGUUGUCGAUGGUAGGGUAUUGGCCUACCAUGACUAUCACGGGUGACGGAGAAUCAGGGUUCGAUUCCGGAGAGGGAGCCUUAGAGACGGCUACCACAUCCAAGGAAGGCAGCAGGCGCGUAAAUUACUCAAUGUCAACUCGACGAAGUAGUGACGAGAAAUAACCAUGGGGAGCCAUUUUGGUUUUCCAAUGGUAAUGAGAGCAAUGUAAAAACCUCAUCGAGGAUCAAUUGGAGGGCAAGUCUGGUGCCAGCAGCCGCGGUAAUUCCAGCUCCUAAAGUGUAUACUAACGUUGUUGCAGUUAAAAAGCUCGUAGUUGAACUAUUGGUUUGGGGUGUUUGUGGCUCUUUGAAUGUAAAUUCAUUGUAUUUGCUCUUACGCCUUGCCAUCUUGGUUUUACAUUUAUUGUAACACCUCUCUCAGUGUAAAAAAUUUAGGGUGCUACACGCAUAGUGUUUGUGCUCAGAAUAUUCUAUGGGAGAAGAAAAUAAACUCUGGUGGCGCUAUUUUGGUGGUUUGCACAUCACAGAGUGAUCACGGGCACUUGUGGGUGUACUCAUUUUUAUAUCUCAGAUGAGAUACUCGUAUAUUCUCAAAACACAAUAUAGUGAAACACUUUUCCCGGAGGUGUUUUCUUUCUCAAAAAAAAUUUGGGAGAUCAAAGAUUAUAUACACCUCCAACUCUCACCAAAAAUACCCCACUUGAUUUCCCCAUUUUUUUUUUAAAUUUGGGCCCGCCCGGGAAAAACAAAUUUUUUUUUCCCGGGGGAGUGUGGCCCAAAAAAAAUUUUAAAAAUUUUCAGAGGCCCCCCCCCGGGGACCCCCCCUUUUUUUUUUCCCCGAAAUAUUCCCCCCCACAAAAGAGGGGGGAAAGUAAACUCUUCCUUUUUUCGGGGGGGGGGGGCCGUUUUUUGGGGGAAUUUUUUGGUGUUGGUUGUGGGGAGACCCCCCCCCACAACCCCUGGGAUAUAAAAAAAUCCCAAGGGAUCGGUUUUCCAGAGAACUUGGCCCCAGGGAGGCCCC
RNAcentral lists this ribosomal RNA (1303 nucleotides) under Thraustochytriidae sp. DT1. Its description in RNAcentral is "partial 18S ribosomal RNA". The stretch from base 1 to 1063 matches the Rfam family "Eukaryotic small subunit ribosomal RNA". Lineage: Eukaryota; Bigyra; Thraustochytrida; Thraustochytriidae. The record is from RNAcentral.